This 451-nucleotide long non-coding RNA is filed under the name Callithrix jacchus (white-tufted-ear marmoset). Its description in RNAcentral is "lncRNA (ENSCJAG00000079313.1)". Lineage: Eukaryota; Metazoa; Chordata; Mammalia; Primates; Cebidae. The record is from RNAcentral.
CUGUGUUUUGGGGAUGAGUACCGACUGGCCCAUUUAGUUGUAGCUUUCUCCUAAUAUUGUCCCCUGAUUUUCAUCCUAUCCAAUCUUAAUGUUUAAAUUUCCUUGACAUUCCUUCUUUUAGAUCCCUUUGGAGUCUGCAGAGGAUACUGCAUCACCUUGUAGGAGCUGGUACUAGUAAUCUCAUCUUGGUGUCCAGGCCCUUGUUCUUCCACCUCUAACUCCAAUGCAACCUCCUGUGAUGCUGGUGGAUCCAAAAGGAUAGUUCAUGACACCAGGACCUCAUCCUCUUGCUCCUCCAGAAGGCUUGUGUGGACCACCAUGAGGAUGUUUUCAGCCAAGCCAUUUUGGUGGCCUGCAACAUUUUUCUAUCAAAGUAAGAAGCAUCUAUCCAACAAAGAAUUGUCAUUUUCCUCUCCAUAGAUUUCCUCCCAUUGCUGAGCUUCCAGAAGAG